AUUGAACGCUGGCGGCAGGCCUAACACAUGCAAGUCGAACGAGUGGCGGACGGGUGAGUUAUGUCUGGGACACUGCCCGAUGGAGGGGGAUAACUACUGGAAACGGUAGCUAAUACCGCAUACCAUCGGAUGUGCCUAGAUGGGAUUAGCUAGUAGGUGGGGUAAAGGCUCACCUAGGCGACGAUCCCUAGCUGGUCUGAGAGGACGACCAGCCACACUGGAACGGAGACACGGUCCAGACUCCUACGGGAGGCAGCAGUGGGGAAUAUUGCAAAAUGGGCGCAAGCCUGAUGCAGCCAUGCCGCGUGUAUGAAGAAGGCCCUCGGGUUGUAAAGUACUUUCAGCGGGGAGGCGUUACCCACAGAAGAAGCACCGGCUAACUCCGUGCCAGCAGCCGCGGUAAUUC
This 406-nucleotide ribosomal RNA is filed under the name uncultured bacterium. RNAcentral's name for it is "partial 16S ribosomal RNA". It matches the Rfam family "Bacterial small subunit ribosomal RNA", at positions 30 to 526 of the family's 1533-position model. The record is from RNAcentral.